This is a long non-coding RNA of Mesocricetus auratus (golden hamster), 669 nucleotides long. RefSeq lists it as uncharacterized. The transcript has 3 exons. NCBI's taxonomy places the organism in Eukaryota, Metazoa, Chordata, Mammalia, Rodentia, Cricetidae. The record is from RefSeq and is a predicted model, not a curated record.
GGACUGUUCAUUUCAACAGCUUGGGAAUCACAGGGCUUCCCUGCACAGCAAACUGGAUCAGGUCACAGGGUCAUCCUCUUCAAGAUACACUGCAGAGGGCUCCCAUCGACUACGAUUAAAGGGAAAAUACAGUACGGAAGUUGGCAAGGAUGUGGGACACUCAGAACACCAUAGACUGCUGAUGAUGAACUGUGCAUUGUAGGAAAAUGCAAAACUGUUCAGACAGAGGUGACAAAAUGAAGACAGCCUGGACUUUGGACUCUGCUCCCUGGAUUCCAGUCUGCUUCCUGGCAUGUGUGAUAACUUGUUUCUCUGGAUCUCUGACAUCCUUUGAGCCAUACACCCUCUUAGACUACAUGGGGAUUUAGUAACAGCUUAUACAGUUGUUUGGUCUACAGUAAAAGUCAAAACUAGUUGCACUGAACAGUGCAACAGAAUUUUAAGAAUGCAAAAUUCCAUGUAUUUAAAGGUCUUCUCAGUGCGUUGCAGCAGUUAAACCACCCUUGGCCAUCACCCUUUAACACUACAAAGCCUUGAGCUUCUAAGUGAUAUUUUAUCAUGUCUAGUUACACAUCAGACCUUUCUGUAUAAACACAUACAUGCUUUUAUUGAUUCACUUUCCAUCUGUGACAAUGGCCAUUCGAUACAAUAAAUGCAUUGAUUAGGUUG